This 1408-nucleotide ribosomal RNA is filed under the name uncultured prokaryote. RNAcentral describes it as "partial 16S ribosomal RNA". It matches the Rfam family "Bacterial small subunit ribosomal RNA". The record is from RNAcentral.
AGAGUUUGAUCGAGGCUCAGAACGAACGCUGGCGGCAGGCUUAACACAUGCAAGUCGAACGAUAUAGUGGCAGACGGGUGAGUAACGCGUGGAAACGUGCCUUUCACUACGGAAUAGCUCCGGGAAACUGGAAUUAAUACCGUAUACGCCCUCCGGGGGAAAGAUUUAUCGGUGAAAGAUCGGUCCGCGUUAGAUUAGAUAGUUGGUGGGGUAAUGGCCUACCAAGUCUACGAUCUAUAGCUGGUCUGAGAGGAUGAUCAGCCACACUGGGACUGAGACACGGCCCAGACUCCUACGGGAGGCAGCAGUGGGGAAUAUUGCACAAUGGGCGCAAGCCUGAUGCAGCCAUGCCGCGUGAAUGAUGAAGGCCUUAGGGUUGUAAAAUUCUUUCGCUAGGGAUGAUAAUGACAGUAACCAGUAAAGAAGCCCCGGCUAACUUCGUGCCAGCAGCCGCGGUAAUACGAAGGGGGCUAGCGUUGUUCGGAAUUACUGGGCGUAAAGCGCGCGUAGGCGGGCUAGUCAGUUAGAGGUGAAAUCCCAGAGCUCAACCUCGGAACUGCAUUUGAAACUGGUAGUCUAGAGAUCAGGAGAGGUCAGUGGAAUACCGAGUGUAGAGGUGAAAUUCGUAGAUAUUCGGUGGAACACCAGUGGCGAAGGCGACUGACUGGACUGGUACUGACGCUGAGGUGCGAAAGUGUGGGGAGCAAACAGGAUUAGAUACCCUGGUAGUCCACACCGUAAACGAUGAAUGCUAGUUGUCUGCAUGCAUGCAUGUAGGUGACGCAGCUAACGCAUUAAGCAUUCCGCCUGGGGAGUACGGCCGCAAGGUUAAAACUCAAAGAAAUUGACGGGGGCCCGCACAAGCGGUGGAGCAUGUGGUUUAAUUCGAAGCAACGCGCAGAACCUUACCAGCCCUUGACAUGUUUGAUUACCAGAGAUGGUUUUCUUCAGUUCGGCUGGCUACCACACAGGUGCUGCAUGGCUGUCGUCAGCUCGUGUCGUGAGAUGUUGGGUUAAGUCCCGCAACGAGCGCAACCCUCGCCAUUAGUUGCCAGCAGGUUAAGCUGGGCACUCUGAUGGCACUGCCGGUGAUAAGCCGGAGGAAGGUGGGGAUGACGUCAAGUCCUCAUGGCCCUUACGGGUUGGGCUACACACGUGCUACAAUGGCAGUGACAAUGGGUUAAUCCCAAAAAACUGUCUCAGCUCGGAUUGUCGUCUGCAACUCGACGGCAUGAAGUCGGAAUCGCUAGUAAUCGCGUAACAGCAUGACGCGGUGAAUACGUUCCCGGGCCUUGUACACACCGCCCGUCACACCAUGGGAGUUGGGUUUACCCGAAGAUUGUGAGCUAACUUCGGAGGCAGCAAGCCACGGUAGGUUCAGCGACUGGGAUGAAGUCGUAACAAGGUA